GUGCGAGACCGAUAGCGAACAAGUACCGUGAGGGAAAGAUGAAAAGAACUUUGAAAAGAGAGUUAAAGAGUACCUGAAACUGCUGAAAGGGAACCGAAUCGUAUCCAGUGUCUAUAAUCCAUGGCAUAUUUCAUUGGCGAGUGAGUGCGUGCAGCGUUUUGGAAGUGGUUUUCCGCUCCUGUCGUUGUUGUGCAUUUGCUUGCUGGUGCCCUGUGCUGUGGUGGGACGUCAGAGUCAGUUUGUAUGUUGCGGGAAAUGGUUAUUGGGGAGGUAGGUCACUUCGGUGGCUGUUAUAUCCUGGUAACUAGUCGUCGUGGCUGAGACUGAGGUGCCUACAAUGUGCUUUCGAGUGUGCGGGAUUCUCGUGUGGCUGUUUGCUUUGAUAGCUUGCUAUGUUGGUGAAUAAGUCGUGCGAUUGAGGCUUGUAUUAACUUGUUGCUGUUCGGGACUUUGAA
RNAcentral lists this ribosomal RNA (455 nucleotides) under uncultured Oomycota. Its description in RNAcentral is "LSU rRNA". It matches the Rfam family "Eukaryotic large subunit ribosomal RNA", at positions 326 to 630 of the family's 3401-position model. Lineage: Eukaryota; Oomycota. The record is from RNAcentral.